This 388-nucleotide long non-coding RNA is filed under the name Zostera marina. RNAcentral's name for it is "long non-coding RNA (ZMAR_LNC001048)". The record is from RNAcentral. Lineage: Eukaryota; Viridiplantae; Streptophyta; Magnoliopsida; Alismatales; Zosteraceae.
CUAAAAAAAGAGUGGCAUAAAGUCUCUGAUAAGUAAUUGUGUAAAUUUAUACUCAAUGAAAUCAUUUCUUUUCCAUUCAGUUUCAAAUCCUAGAAAUUAGAAUCCUCCCGGCAGCCACCUAAAAAAUCACAUGCUAUGGGCUACUACUACCAUAACAGGCAGGCAGGCAGGCUUUUAGAAUAAGGCAGGCAUUAAAGGUCAAGAAUCAACGACAAGAACUGCAAAAUACAAGAAGCACCACGGAUCGAUCAAUGAGGAGAGAAAAUGGUAUGAAAACAUACAGCUGCUUCAGAUCCAACAGGUAUAGUGAAAGUCAACAGCACGAAAUUAAUAUCUAUGUACUGAACCAAAUUUCAAUUCAAACCAACUAAUUUACCAAAAAAACAAG